UGGGGAAUAUUGCACAAUGGGCGCAAGCCUGAUGCAGCGACGCCGCGUGGGGGAUGACGGCCUUCGGGUUGUAAACUCCUUUCGCCAGGGACGAAGCGUUUUGUGACGGUACCUGGAGAAGAAGCACCGGCUAACUACGUGCCAGCAGCCGCGGUAAUACGUAGGGUGCAAGCGUUGUCCGGAAUUACUGGGCGUAAAGAGCUCGUAGGUGGUUUGUCACGUCGUCUGUGAAAUUCCACAGCUUAACUGUGGGCGUGCAGGCGAUACGGGCUGACUUGAGUACUGUAAGGGUAACUGGAAUUCCUGGUGUAGCGGUGAAAUGCGCAGAUAUCAGGAGGAACACCGAUGGCGAAGGCAGGUUACUGGGCAGUUACUGACGCUGAGGAGCGAAAGCAUGGGUAGCAAACAGGAUUAGAUACCCUGGUAGUCCAUGCCGUAAACGGUGGGCGCUAGGUGUAGGGACCUUUUGGGGUUUCUGUGCCGUAGCUAACGCAUUAAGCGCCCCGCCUGGGGAGUACGGCCGCAAGGCUA
Molecule: ribosomal RNA, 531 nt
Filed under: uncultured bacterium
Lineage: Bacteria
Description: bacterial SSU rRNA
Rfam family: Bacterial small subunit ribosomal RNA
Source: RNAcentral